AAUAUUGGACAAUGGGCGAAAGCCUGAUCCAGCCAUGCCGCGUGAGUGAUGAAGGCCCUAGGGUUGUAAAGCUCUUUCACCGGUGAAGAUAAUGACGGUAACCGGAGAAGAAGCCCCGGCUAACUUCGUGCCAGCAGCCGCGGUAAGACGAAGGGGGCUAGCGUUGUUCGGAAUUACUGGGCGUAAAGCGAGUGUAGGUGGUUUUCCAAGUUGGAUGUGAAAGCCUUGAGCUCAACUCAAGAAAUGCAUUCAGGACUGGGAGACUAGAGGACCGGAGAGGAUAGUGGAAUUCCCAGUGUAGUGGUGAAAUACGUAGAGAUUGGAAAGAACACCAGUGGCGAAGGCGGCUAUCUGGACGGUUUCUGACACUAAGACUCGAAAGCGUGGGGAGCAAAC
Molecule: ribosomal RNA, 396 nt
Filed under: uncultured bacterium
Lineage: Bacteria
Description: bacterial SSU rRNA
Rfam family: Bacterial small subunit ribosomal RNA
Source: RNAcentral